AACCAUAGAAACCUGCGGAGUACCUGCGGAGGGAUCAUUAUAGUAUAUGGAAUCUCCAUUCUAUGAACCCACUCUGCGUAUCUUGUAACUGUUGCUUCCAUGGGACUUGGUUCCGCCACACCGGCUUCACGGCUGGUGAGCGCCCAUGGAAGGAGAAACAAAACUCUUCUUUGAAAUGUAGUCAGUCUGAACAAGUUUUUAUAAACGUUAAAACUUUUAACAAUGGAUCUCAGAUCGGAA
This 240-nucleotide unclassified non-coding RNA is filed under the name soil metagenome. RNAcentral's name for it is "partial contains 5.8S ribosomal RNA, internal transcribed spacer 2, and large subunit ribosomal RNA". The record is from RNAcentral.